RNAcentral lists this ribosomal RNA (406 nucleotides) under uncultured bacterium. RNAcentral's name for it is "partial 16S ribosomal RNA". It matches the Rfam family "Bacterial small subunit ribosomal RNA", at positions 30 to 526 of the family's 1533-position model. The record is from RNAcentral.
AUUGAACGCUGGCGGCAGGCCUAACACAUGCAAGUCGAACGAGUGGCGGACGGGUGUGUAAUGUCUGGGAAACUGCCUGAUGGAGGGGGAUAACUACUGGAAACGGUAGCUAAUACCGCAUACCAUCGGAUUUGCCCAGAUGGGAUUAGCUUGUAGGUGGGGUAAAGGCUCACCUAGGCGACGAUCCCUAUCUGGGCUGAGGGGAUGACCGGCAACCCGGGACCGGUGACAGGGUCCAGACUCAUACGGGAGGCAGAAGAGGGGAAUAUUGCACAUUGAGCGCAAGCCUGAUGCAGCAAUGCCGCGUGUAUGAAGAGGGCCUUCGGGUGGUAAAGUACUUUCAGCGGGGAGGCGUUACCCGAAGAAAAAGCACCGGCUAACUCCGUGCCAGCAGCCGCGGUAAUUC